CCUACGGGGGGCUGCAGAGGGGAAUAUUGCACAAUGGGCGAAAGCCUGAUGCAGCGACGCCGCGUGAGCGAAGAAGGCCUUCGGGUCGUAAAGCUCUGUCCUAUGGGAAGAAAGAUAACGGUACCAUAGGAGGAAGCCCCGGAUAACUACGUGCCAGCAGCCGCGGUAAUACGUAGGAGGCGAGCGUUGUGGGGAAUGACUGGGCGUAAAGGGUACGUAGGAAGGUAGAUAAGUCAGAAGUGAAAGGCAUAGGGUUAACCUGUAUAAGCAUUUGAAACUGUCUAGAUUGAGUCAAGGAGAGGAAAGUGGAAUUCCUGGUGUAGCGGUGAAAUGCGUAGAUAUCAGGAGGAAUAGCAGUGGCGAAGGCGACUUUGUGGACUUAGACUGACGCUGAGGUACGAAAGCGUGGGGAGCAAACAGGAUUAGAUACCCUGGUAGUC
Molecule: ribosomal RNA, 440 nt
Filed under: uncultured bacterium
Lineage: Bacteria
Description: bacterial SSU rRNA
Rfam family: Bacterial small subunit ribosomal RNA
Source: RNAcentral